UACGUAGGGGGCAAGCGUUGUCCGGAUUUAUUGGGCGUAAAGAGCGUGUAGGCGGCCAGGUAGGUCUGCCGUGAAAACUCGAGGCUUAACCUCGAGCUGUCGGCGGAAACCAUCUGGCUAGAGUCCGGAAGAGGAGAAUGGAAUUCCCGGUGUAGCGGUGAAAUGCGCAGAUAUCAGGAGGAACACCGAUUGCGAAGGCAGCUCGCUGGGACGUUACUGACGCUGAGACGCGAAAGCGUGGGGAGCAAACAGG
RNAcentral lists this ribosomal RNA (253 nucleotides) under uncultured bacterium. Its description in RNAcentral is "partial 16S ribosomal RNA". It matches the Rfam family "Bacterial small subunit ribosomal RNA", at positions 524 to 776 of the family's 1533-position model. The record is from RNAcentral.